RNAcentral lists this long non-coding RNA (1637 nucleotides) under Gallus gallus (chicken). RNAcentral's name for it is "lncRNA (ENSGALG00010016231.1)". Lineage: Eukaryota; Metazoa; Chordata; Aves; Galliformes; Phasianidae. The record is from RNAcentral.
UAGCAAGAGGACUGCUUCCACAGACAGCUUAGCCGGUGAAGAACUAAAUAGAACACCAAGCAGUCACCUCACGGGAGGAUUUAUUAGCAAGGAACUCUUUGUACAUCCACAAAUGCAAUGGGCAACGCAGGUGGAAGCAGUGCACGCCAGUCUCCAUUUAAUCAUUCAGGUACCUCUUACAACCCCUGCUGUCUGUUGGUCUCCACUCUCUAGUGCUAUUGAUUUCAAGACACCGAAGUUUUUCUGUGGAACUCAAGGAGUCUUUUUGUUGUUGUUGUUCAUUCGAAUUAAAAGUGCAUUUGGCAGAUACAAAGAGGACAUCUGGCUUUCCCUGGGAGGGGAGUAGCCCAUCCUGCUUGCUACAGUGGUGAAGAUAUGAUAACAUGACACAAAAGAAUUAAGGUCCCAAGUGAGGCCAUGGAAGCAUGCUGCAGUCUUCCUGGAGGAGUAGGAGUCACAGGAAGUCUGUAGCACUACUCCUAGUGCACACAAAUUCCUUGCUGCCAUAGUUUGGAAGCAGCAGGAAGAGGCUGGCGGCAGACAGGGCUUCCCGUUUGACAAGGGCCAGGCCAGCCAGCUGUGCAGCAAUCCCUCCCACUUCCCUCUGCGGAACCUGCGUGUGGCUCAAGGCUGCUGGCCCGGCUCUGUUUACACGUCUCCAAAUUCAAGGAGGAAAAGUGAAUAUCAAACAGACCUGCGCUCUUUUGAUGUGGCUGAAGGAUGCUAUCGGGUCUGGGGGGUGUUGUGCCUUUGAGGCUCAUUUGUCUUUCCCCAGCCCUUCUGUGCAGGCCUGUAACCAGCCAUUCGGAUCUUCAAAGCCGCCCUAACCCCAAUGGUGCAGCUUCUUCAGAUCUGGCACCGUGGCCAGGAAUAGGGUGCUCUGUGUGGAACCACUUUUCUUUACGGUUUUCAGACACAGAGCUUUUGUUAUUCCUUGAAAUACGUAAUUUCACUAAAAUUAGUUACUGUCCAACAGGAAGAAAAUAAAGGAUUUGUUUUGUUUCACGAGUAGGAGGGUCAGUCCCUCCCUGGUGAGCUUUCCUGUGCUCAACCAGCUGCAAUGAGUGGUGUUUUGAGAGCUUCCUUCAUACUUACCCGUUAGUAAGCAAUCUAAAGUCUUAACAUACAUCCCACUCCUCUCAGAUUUAGUACUUGGAUGAACCAAAAGCCGACUGUGGGGAUGUCUGCCAACACAAAUUGUUGUCAGCGUCUGCCCUCUGCGGGUAAAUGGUUUAAAUUACUGCUAGAAUGCGUCAAGCUGUGUUGAGAGGAGGCGCUGUUGGAAGCACCUGGGAUUGGUUGUGCUCUGCUUUAGGACCAUCUCAUGUUACCAAAUCUUUUUUAAGGUGAAAAAUCUUUCUCUUUGCAAGUGAAAGAAGUACUCUUCCUAAUUAAUAAAUAGUAAGGAGAAUCAAAUUUUGAAACUCCAAAUUCUUGAAGUAGUUACAGUUUUGAAUACUGACGUUAGGAGAAACAACUAUAAGUAUUUUCAAUUCAUUAAUGAGAGCUUUUUUGCAUCCUAGACCUCAUUCAUUGAGUCUGUUUAUAGCUUUUCUAGGAAUUGGACUAAAAGCAGCUCAGACAUUUACCAUAAAGUAGCAUUCUGGUUAUCCUGCUGGUCCUGAUUUAUUUAAAAC